ACGUAGGGGGCAAGCGUUGUUCGGAUUUACUGGGCGUAAAGGGCGCGUAGGCGGCAAUUCAAGUCAGUUGUGAAAUCUCCGGGCUUAACUCGGAAAGGUCAACUGAUACUGCGCGGCUAGAGUGCAGAAGGGGCAACUGGAAUUCUCGGUGUAGCGGUGAAAUGCGUAGAUAUCGAGAGGAACACCUGCGGCGAAGGCGGGUUGCUGGGCUGACACUGACGCUGAUGCGCGAAGGCCAGGGGAGCGAACGGGA
RNAcentral lists this ribosomal RNA (253 nucleotides) under uncultured prokaryote. RNAcentral describes it as "partial 16S ribosomal RNA". It matches the Rfam family "Bacterial small subunit ribosomal RNA", at positions 525 to 777 of the family's 1533-position model. The record is from RNAcentral.